UGGACUGAAAAAAGGCCCAGA
This 21-nucleotide non-coding RNA is filed under the name Caenorhabditis elegans. The record is from RNAcentral. Lineage: Eukaryota; Metazoa; Nematoda; Chromadorea; Rhabditida; Rhabditidae.